This 156-nucleotide non-coding RNA is filed under the name human gut metagenome. The record is from RNAcentral.
CGGCAACCUUGAAAAAGGUUUUAAAAGGGAAGAGAGCUGAUAGCUCCACAGCCCCCGCUGCCGUUGCGAGGCGCGUCUUUGUUCACUGCUUUUGCGGGAAGGACAAAGAAUGUAAAGCGCGCGCAUUAAUUUUAAGUCGGAAGACCUACCGACAGG